This is a long non-coding RNA of Eriocheir sinensis (Chinese mitten crab), 4893 nucleotides long. RefSeq lists it as uncharacterized. NCBI's taxonomy places the organism in Eukaryota, Metazoa, Arthropoda, Malacostraca, Decapoda, Varunidae. The record is from RefSeq and is a predicted model, not a curated record. The transcript has 2 exons.
CCGGCCUUUACUUUUUUUUUUGUCCUUCUCCUCCUCUUCCUUGUCAUCUUGUUCUGUUCUGUACCUCUUUACAAAUUCCUAGUUUUUCUUUUCUUUCUCCUCUUUCAUAUUCAUCUUUCCUUUUUUCCUCCUCUUCCUCCUCCUUCUAACCCCUUCACUUCGGCGACGUCAGCGUAUGGAAAGGGUUAGUCCUCUUCUAAACCUCUUAAUCCUCUUCUAAACCACUUAUGAGGGAAUGGAAGAGGGAUUUAGAGGAGGAUUGAGAGGUUUAGAAGACGAUUAAUCCUCUUCCGUGUCCUCUUGACCCGUUCCAUACUGUUACGCCGACGUCUGUGUCACGGAUGGAAAGUGUUAAUACUUAUCAUCUUGUUCUGUUCUGUACCUCUUCACGAAUUCCUAGUUUUUUUCCUUCUCUUUUGUCUUCAUUCUUUUUUUAUCCUCCUCCUCCUUGUUAUCUCGUUCCAUUCUUCUUUACCUUCGUUUUACUUUCCUGUUCUUCCUCUUCAUGAAUUCCUACUUUUUCUUUUCUUCCUCAUUUCUUUUUUCUCUUCCUCCUUCUGCUCCUCCUCCUCCACCCCUCCCCUUGUGGCUGGCUGGUGUAGCAUGGUGUAGCCUUAGUGGUGGUGGAGAGAGGCAGUGUUGUAGUGUAGAAACAUUUGCCGGAGUCACCCAGGAGUGGCCGCCCUUCCAUCCUCUAUCAUUAUUUUCAUCAUUAGUUGUGUCAUUCUCAUUGUUAUUGGGAUUCGGUCUUUGAUACUUCACUUCACCGCCGAAAGUUAAUGGGUAAGGAUUUUGUUUAGUUAUCGUAUCAGUUAUUGUUUUUUCACUGGUGCUGCAAAGUCCCAUUAGCCAGACUCAUUAUUUCACUCCAUAGAAAACCCGGGUGACUUGAAGCCUUUUUAGCGAGGACUCAUCUAGACUUGGAACUGAAUGGGUUGAUGUCAUAAUUGUGUUUGUAUGUUGAGGUCAUGGAAUACUUAUGCCCAAUCUUUAAAACAUCGUAUGAGUGGGUGCUUUGUCUUUUUGUCUUUUUUUUGGGACAGAGUUAGUAAGAAGUGUUGGAGUUUCACAGGGUUGAGUUGAUCCAUUACAAACUCAGACGUAAAAAGUGAAAUUGAAAAAUCAUCAAAACAAAUGAACCACACCUUGAACAGUGGGUCAAAACACUGUGGCAGAUUUGUCUGUUUUGGCCUGUAUUUCAGUUGUGGGUAGUUGGUGUAGUUGUUUUUUUGUAUUACUUUUUAUAACUGUUUUAAUAAGUUGACUUAAUAAAAAUCCAACACUUUUAAGCAACCAUUCAAAAAGUGGAGUUAAAGAGCCAAACAGACGCAUAACUUGAUAAAUACUAAUAUGAUUAAAAUUUAAGGGAGUAGGAAUAAAGGAGAGGAAAUGGAGGAAGGAGGAGUGUGAGAGUAGUCAUAGAUGAGGUUGAAGGGAGGAAUGAGGAAGAAAAACAGGAGGAAAAUGCACCCAGUUAUGUCAAUUUUUCAAGAUCCUCAAACCCCAGCUGAUUUGAAUGACUGCUCCCCACCCGCCCCCUUCAUGUGGCUACAAAGGUUCACAUUUAGUAGAAAAAUACCCCCCUUUAACAACUCUGGGUACGUCCCUGUGAGAGUGUUAUAGUCAGUGAGGGAGAGGAAGGAGGAAUGAAGGAGAGGGAGGAGGAAGGGGAAAAAAUAGAAGGAAGAAAGGAGAAUAAGACUUGUACAGUGCAAUUAUUAUGUUCCUUUUUGCUUCCUGCUUCACAACUGUACUGGAAUGUGGCUUCUCUCAUUUCCCUUUAGUUCUGAAUGUCUCACAAUAACCAAUGAUGAUGAUAAUGGUGUUUGAUCUCUUAUGUUUCCAUGGACGACACAGGUGAGAACAAAUGUUUGGGGUGUAAUACUUUGAGCUCUGUUAUUGUUUUGUUAUGUAGUGUAGGAGUAAGAGAAUGGGGAAGACAGGGAAAGGAAGGAAAAAGACUGAGGAAAAAGAAGAAAGGAAGGAAUGAAGGAGAUGAAGAAUGGAGAGGCAGGAAGGGAGAAGAUAGCUAGAGACAUUUAGAGAGAAGAAUAUACAAAUUUAAUCCUUACUAAAUUGUUUUCUCAUUAUUACACUAGACAUUGUUAUUACAGUAGAAUGCUUAAUUGAGUUUCUUGAAGUAUGUCAUUGUUUUGUUAGUGUGAGAAUGAUAGCGAGGAACACCAGAAAAGUUCAAAAUAAACAGAUUAAUAGAUGCUAACUUCAUCCUUAUUAAAUGUUGUUACUUCACUAGAUUAUAUAAACGUCCCAGUGUCUAGGAAUGUUACGAGGAUCUAGGAGUGUUGUAGAGGUGUUGGUAAGGGUGUUCAGGAGUUUAUGAGGAGAGAAGGUCAGUAGGAUUUUAUAGCAAGCAAGACAUUACCUACACUAGAUUAUAUGAACGUCUCAGUGUCUAGGAAUGUUACGAGGAUCUAGGAGUGUUGUAGAGGUGUUGGUAAGGGUGUUCAGGAGUUUAUGAGGAGAGGAGGUCAUUAGGGUUUUAGAGCAAACAAAACAUUACCUAAGAAAGACAGGUAGGCUUUGAUUAAGAAUGUUUUUUAUUGAUAGAAUGCAGGAAUAUAAGUGAUUGAGGUGUUGUUAAAAGUGUUCAGGGGUUUAUGAGGAGAGGUCAGUAGGGUUUUAAUAGCAAACAAGACAUACCUAAGAACGACACGUAGGCUUUGAUUAAGGAUGUUUUUAUGGUAGAAUGCAGGAAUAUAAGUGAUUUUGUAUUUAUUUAUUUAUUUAUGGAAGUAUGAUUUUAUGAGAGGAUAGACAUUCACGUUUAAAUCUUGUGUCUCCAAUUAUUAUUUCUGCGAUGUGAUGUUUUAUUUCUAAUUUGUGGGAUUAUAAUAAGUUAGUAAGAGUGUUCAGGAGUUUAUGAGGAGAGGAGGUCAGUCAGAAUGCAAGAAGAUUAGUGAUUUUGUAUUUAUUUUAUUUGUGGAAGACUCUAACUUUGUGCAGGAUAGAUAUUCAUGUUUAAAUUUUGUGUUUCCAUUUUUUUUUUCUGUGAUGUGGUUUUAUUUCUCUGAUUUGUGGGAUUCUAAUAAGUUUAAUUUUUGUGGGUAAUCUAUCAUUUUUAUUUCAUCAACUUCCCAGAUCAAAUGACCAUCUAAAUCACAUCCAUAUUCUUAAACAUUUCAAGGCUCACACACACACACUUAUAAGGCCUUCAUAGAGGUUGUUGUGGGUGUUUCCAUGGGUAGUUUUAUGAGCCUAGUGAUAGUUUGACAAGGCUUUUGCACCGUGAAUGUGAAAAUCGCACCCAUGAGAACCUGCCUAACCUUCCUUAACCCGUUAGCAGUGACGGGCCAAAUUUGAGGCUUUACCGUGUAGCAGCGACAGGCCAAAUUUGAGGCUUUACCGUGUAGCAGUGAUGGGCCAAAUUUGAGGCUUUACCGUGUAGCAGCGACAGGCCAAAUUUGUGCCAUGAUAUAAACCCCCAAAAUAGAUGAUGCAUAAACUGAUCAUAAAUGCGUUGAUAUAUAUGAUGAAAUGGCUUGUGUGAGUGAUGAUUUUUUUUCAUUUUUCUCACCUAGAGGGACCAUUAAGAAACAUGAUCCCCAGAGCUACCGGGUUAAGACCUUUGGAAAUAGUUGUGGAAGCUGAAAGUGUCUUGAGAAUAUGUGAAUUAUUUUACUCUCCUGGUGUCCCUAUGAUUCUCUCUCUCACUCCUGCACUAUAUAACAAAACCAUAACAAACCUCAAAGAACUCCUAGGUAUACAUAUUCAGGUGUAACAGGAAUAUUUAAAAAGAACAAAGCUAGCAUUAUUUUACACUCCUACUAUUCCUGUGUCUCUCUCUCUCUUUUGUUAGUUUACUCUCCUUUCUUAUUAGUUCAUAUCCAGCUUAUUCCUGUCACAUCUGAACCUCUACAUUUUUUUUUUUACGUCAAAGGAUGCGGCUCAAGGGCAACAAAAAGAGUACACACACACAAAAAAAAAAAGCCCGCUACUCGCCGCUCCCACAAAAGUAGAGAGUAGCCAAAAGAGAGGUCAAUUUCGGGUGGAAGUGUGUCAUUCUCCUGCCAUUCUGUCCCUUAUUUUGGCACUUACCACAGUCAUGAAUCUGCCGUCCAUAUUCCUAGACAUUUCCGACUCUCACAACUCUUUCCAAAGGCCAUGAAGGAGGUUAGUCAGGUUCUUACGAGUGUUGUUUCAUAUUCACAGUGCAGAAGCCUCAUCAAACUAUCACUAGGCUCAUAAGACUACCCAUGGACAUACCCAGAAUGGUCUAUAUGAAAGCCUUGUCAUGUGGGUGUGUCCUGAAGUGGUUGAUGAUAUGGACUUAACCUUACCAUACGUCAACCUCAGCACACCUUAUGUUUGAUCCUCAUGUCUCCUUCUCGUCAUUUCACACUGUUCCUCACACUUAACCUUACCAUACGUCAACCUCAGCACACCUUAUGUUUGAUCCUCAUGUCUCUUUCUCGUCAUUUCACACUGUUCCUCACACCCUCCUUCACCCUAUUAAACACAUACCUUACCUGUCUCCUCCUCCUCCUCCUCCUCUCCUUACUCUCAGAAACAUAAAAUAGCACCCCACUUCAAUAUUCCUUUUCCUUGUUAAUCAUGGUUUCUUUACUUUCUUAACCCAGUAGCAGCGGGGAUCAUGUUUCUUAAAGGCCCUUCCCUCUAAGCGAGAAAAUUGAGAAAAUAUCAUCACUCACACAAACCAUUUCAUAAUACUAUAUAUCAAUGCAUUUGUGAUCAGUUUAUGCAUCAUCUAUUUUUUGGGGGUUUAUAUCAUGGGAAAAAUUUGGCCCGUCGCUGCUACCAGGUUAAACACAUACCUUACCUCUCUCCUCUCCUCCUCCUCCUCUUACUCUCAGAAACACAAAACAGCAUCCUCAGAAACAAAAACAAACAACAAAACAACAAAAACAAACAAAA